AACGCGAAGAACCUUACCAAGGCUUGACAUCGCCGGAAAUCCCGUAGAGAUGCGGGGUCCUUUUUGGGUCGGUGACAGGUGGUGCAUGGCUGUCGUCAGCUCGUGUCGUGAGAUGUUGGGUUAAGUCCCGCAACGAGCGCAACCCUCGUUCCAUGUUGCCAGCAACACCUUCGGGUGGUUGGGGACUCAUGGGAGACCGCCGGGGUCAACUCGGAGGAAGGUGGGGAUGACGUCAAGUCAUCAUGCCCCUUAUGUCUUGGGCUGCAAACAUGCUACAAUGGCCGGUACAGUGGGCUGCGAUACCGUGAGGUGGAGCGAAUCCCUUAAAGCCGGUCUCAGUUCGGAUCGAAGUCUGCAACUCGACUUCGUGAAGUCGGAGUCGCUAGUAAUCGCAGAUCAGCAACGCUGCGGUGAAUACGUUCCCGGGCCUUGUACACACCG
Molecule: ribosomal RNA, 441 nt
Filed under: uncultured bacterium
Lineage: Bacteria
Description: bacterial SSU rRNA
Rfam family: Bacterial small subunit ribosomal RNA
Source: RNAcentral